GUGAGUCACGUGACCAUACCGUCACGUGACCAUUCCGUCUCUUCCUCACGCCGGCCAGAGCGCACAGCCGGUCACAACAAGCAGCAAGCACUCACGUUUUCUUCAUGGCUGAGCAAGCGGUGCAGAGCUUUUAGGACAUACAUAUUGAUUGGGAGAAACGGAAUAACACCGACAUGCCUCGUAAGGAGAGGAGGCGGAAGCAGCGACAGAAAGAGCUACAUGAGGCAGCUAAAGGCAGUGGGUCCCUCACCAGCUGGAUAAAAAAAGAGUACAGUCUGAGAUCAACACAGCCUUGCCCUCCAGCAUCAUCAUCAGCAGCAAGAAGAGCAACCCUGCAACAGCUACACUGUACCCCAUCAUCAGGUAAAAUAGGACAGCAAUAGAUCAGGAGGUGGAGCAGGUUGUCCGGUAAUCGGAAGGUUGCAGGUUUGAUCCUGACUUUAAUCAGAGAUUGAUGCUGUUGUGUCCUUGGGCAAGACACUUAACCUGCUUUGCCUGCUGGUGGUGGUCGGAGGGACUGGUGGCGCCUGUGCACGGCAGCCUCGCCUCUGUCAGUGUGCUCCAGAGCAGCUAUGGCUACAUCAUAGCUCAUCACCAUCAGUGUGUUAAUGUGUGUGUGUGAAUGACUGAUUGUGUUGUAAUGUGCCUUGGGGGGUUGUAGAACCCUAAGAAGGCAUUAUACAAAUACAGACCAUUUACCAAAACAAGUUACUUUUGCUUUACAUUGUCCUUAUGUGGUAAGGAUGUAUAUAAUGAUUCGCUUCCAUUUUGAAUUUCUAAUAAAUAUGAUUUGUUAUUCA
This is a long non-coding RNA of Nothobranchius furzeri (turquoise killifish), 800 nucleotides long. RefSeq lists it as uncharacterized. The record is from RefSeq and is a predicted model, not a curated record. Lineage: Eukaryota; Metazoa; Chordata; Actinopteri; Cyprinodontiformes; Nothobranchiidae.